This is a non-coding RNA of Cucurbita pepo subsp. pepo (vegetable marrow), 261 nucleotides long. The record is from RefSeq and is a predicted model, not a curated record. NCBI's taxonomy places the organism in Eukaryota, Viridiplantae, Streptophyta, Magnoliopsida, Cucurbitales, Cucurbitaceae.
UUUUUAUCCUUGUCCAGGAAUUGAACAGCCCAAGUUCCAUUAAUUGACGAGAUCGAUUCAAAGGCUCAAGGAAACACUCUAUGAGGUAACAGCAAGAAUUGUAUUUGAAGGUGAGAUUCCAGCCAAAACUUCCAGCAUCGAUAUCGUUCUUCUCUGUAUAAUUCUCGGAAUCGCUGCUUACUUGUACAAUAUAUGGAGCUGGGUUGGAUUAAGAGCUUAUUGUUCAAGUGGUUGAACUAUGGGAUAGCCCUGAGUUGCGAG